RNAcentral lists this unclassified non-coding RNA (140 nucleotides) under soil metagenome. Its description in RNAcentral is "partial internal transcribed spacer 1". The record is from RNAcentral.
UCAAAACAGCGGACUUCGGUCUUUGCUGCACCCUUGUCUUCUGCGCACCGUAAUUGUUUCCUCGGCGGGCUUGCCUGCCGGUUGGACAUUAUCAAAACCUUUUGUAGUUGCAAUCAGCGUCAGAAAAAUCAUAAUUAUUA